AGAGAACCCUGUAUUAUUGUGUAUUCGACCGGUGGUCCUUUUAGGGGCAAAAACGAGUGCGCCCGAGCCAGGGAGCUCGGCUCUGCACCAGGCGCUCGCCCCGACCCCGUCUUCCUCCGCCGCCUCGCCGCGCCGGCCGGCAUCACCGGAGAUCACCGCCGCCGCGAACAGCGCCGCCAUGGCCGCCCCGAGCUUUGCUGGCAGCCACGCCGCGUGACUCCGGCGGGAUCCGCUCGCCCCUGCCCGGAUCCGCAUCCCCCAAUCCACCGCGCCGCAGAUCCGCCCGUCCGCCAGCCUCCCCCCUGCUCGACUCGGGUGGACGGGCGAAGUUUCUGACUUGCCAUUGUAGUUGACCUGAAGCUCCAUUGGUGAGGACCAUUGUCGCUGCUACAGGUUAGGGAGGAGGCUCGAGGCAGCCACAAAUUAUGUCCUGCACUGCUUCAACACCGGCCUAUUCUAGCAUAAUCUUCUGCCGUGAGGAUUUGAUGCAGCAAGGGCCAUUUGUUUGACAGAAAUAGAGUUGUUGCCGCAAGAGAGGUACAAAUCAAGGACCGAGGAGGGAUGAGUGUGAAUUUGAUCUAAGUUGGGUUACUUUCUAUGAAUAGACGAUGCGAUUGCUUUGUUAUUUCGUUUAAUUAAUAGAAAAAUUGAUGAGGCAAUUGGAAGAAUCAAGCAGCAAUUUUACUACAUAUCUGCGCCAUUGAUUUGGUCAUCUCUGUCACUAGCAAGUUGCAUAAGAAAGAGUGUGGCGUUGCAGAGGCGUGUAUAAUUGUGAGUCCCUCAAUUAUAGAGAGGAUCCAGGUGAAAGAUGUAGGUGGUGUGCGGAUUGAACUCUAGAUCAGGAACCUGCAGUACUAGAUGGACGAUAACUAUGCUUACAAUUGUUGACCGAACACUGUGAGGUAUGUGCCUGUCCCUCUUCCACCCAUAUCAACAAGUAAUUUUGGAAGAAGCUAAUUUAGUGUAGCAAGAACAUCAUAUUUUAGAUACAGUCUGCAAAUCAAUGUACUUUGUCCGUCUUUCCUUCACCAAAGCAUGCGUUGUGAGAUCAUGAUUACUACCAGGUACUCCCUCUGUAAACUAAUAUAAGAGCGUUUAGAUCACUAUUUUAGUGAUCUAAAUGCUCUUAUAUUAGUUUACGGAGGGAGUACAACAUUGCAAUUUAUUGUCCAAAAUGUUCCUUGAACACACUCCCAAAUUCCCAACCAUCAGCAAUUAUAGUCUCCUCAAUUCAGAUGCAUAAUUACAUAAUAUUGUUAUACAUGUUGCUUAAGUUGAUCACCAUUAUGCUGUUAAUUGGACCUCAAGAAUAGAUAUGACACCUUACCUUAGGCAGCUCUUUAUUUUGUGGACGUUAAUUCAAUUUUGGAAGUUGAUUCAAGUCUGUUGUGCUUGAAGUAGAUUCAUAGAAGCUACAGUUCUGUUAGUAUAUGAACAAAAAGCUUAUCUUAUAUGUGUGACCGGAGUUGCAGAAUAUGAAUAGGGGAAUGAUCAUAGAUGCCAACACCUACAGUAUGAUUUAUCUUGAUAGAGGUGCAGUGGAUUUGUAAGUAGUUUUAGUGUUUUUUUGUAGAUAGCUCAAGUACUUGAGCUUCUGCAAUCAUGAAAAAAACAAAACAAGGGACCAGUAGUCAGGUUCUAGUACACUGAUGCUUUCUCUGUUAAAAUCUUGACACACAUUAUCAAUCUCAAUAGCUUAAUCGAUUCUAAGCUCACCAGAAGUAUUUGUUCAGAAUUUGGAUCAUCGGUCGCAUAUGCUUAUACUCGAACCCUCUAUAACGUGGUAUUCUUGUGCCAGAUUUUUGCCAUUCGGUAAUAGUUAUAAUUGCAUACUUCGAUCUAGGAGUAAUGGUUGUCCCAGGAUGCGUCUCAUGUCUUACUUUGUGACAGCAGUUGGUUGCAUUUCAGUGACAGUCAAUUCAACCUUGAACAAGCAACUAAAUAGCAGGUCUUCUUUGGUUGGAAUCACCACAUCUCAUCUAUGUUACUGCAAAAGCUUUUCAUUAUUGGACCAAGCUUAUGCGAUAUGCAUUGCAGUAAGUAUUAGUUACCAUGUUCAGUUUGUAUGACCAAUUUAAUUACUUCUCUUGUGUGGAGAAAAACUCUUUAAUUGCUUCUUUUGUUUGUGCGAAUAAAGCCGUCGAGUUACUUCAAAAAUGUCAUUUUCUCCUAGGAUGUAAGAUUAUGUUAUGUGGGCGGGCUGAUUGAUUUGCAGGUCAGUAAGGCUGUACAUUGUGUGGAGGAACUGAAUGUGUAUCCUGUUCAGUGCACAUCGACAAAACUGGAUUCAAAAAAGUAAAAUAUAGCACUUGUGUGGCAUCUAUCAUCGAGCAGCACCCUUACUGUGACGUCUAAAAAGGAAACGGUUUACUGGAUCAGAUGUGGAAGAGGAAAAGAAAUCGGAAGCAAAUCCAUACAACAACUCGACCAGCAGUAAAGUACCCAGCUUUCAGAGAUUGGACACCUAGAUUAGUACACAGAAAAGUUGGACUACUUGAUCGUCUUGAAGGAGGAUGUCUACAUGUACUAAACCAGUAAAUCGUUCAUGGAUAUUUCUUUAUAAUGUCUGCAAUGACUCGUUCGUCGCUAUUUAAAAUUUUGAUUA
Triticum aestivum (bread wheat) is the source of this 2605-nucleotide long non-coding RNA. RefSeq lists it as uncharacterized. The transcript has 3 exons. Lineage: Eukaryota; Viridiplantae; Streptophyta; Magnoliopsida; Poales; Poaceae. The record is from RefSeq and is a predicted model, not a curated record.